AAAGGAGCCAAACUGGUUACAGAAACUGGGUUAAGAGACUCAUGAGACAUUGGAACAGGCUGUCCAGAGAAGAAGCUGUGGAUAAGGCAGGCCUGGAAGUCUUCAAGACAGGUCCUCAGAAGCCUUGCCAAAAAUAUCCUAAGUCCAAAGUUAUUUUUAAAAGGUGCGAAAGUCAAGAAAAAUCCAAGUGAAUCCAAGAGAAUGCCUCUAUCAAUAUCUUCCAGACUGGAAAUCACCUUUGAGGGACUUCAGCAGUGCUCCAUGGGCAGGUAUGUAAGGAUGUAGCUUAUAGGACCAUUGAGGUUGCUUUGAGACAUGUUGGGUAGAUCGCUGCUUUGGUUCCCAGAAGUCAUCAAUGAAAGGGCAACUCAAACACAUUAAAGAAUCCUUCUGAAAAACCAUAGUUUUGAAGCCCCCUGAAAAAACAAUAUGGUGAUCUGUUUUGAAUUUUGUUUACCUUUAAUAUGCUUGGAGUACUUUGGGUAGAUGGUGCACCCUUCAUGCUCUACCUGCUCACCUUAUAAAGACAUGGACUA
Molecule: long non-coding RNA, 536 nt
Organism: Motacilla alba alba
Lineage: Eukaryota; Metazoa; Chordata; Aves; Passeriformes; Motacillidae
Exons: 3
Source: RefSeq, a predicted model, not a curated record